AAGUCGUAACAAGGUUUCCGUAGGUGAACCUGCGGAAGGAUCAUUAAUAAAUAAAAUUAAAAAAAUAUUUAUUAAUAAAUAUUAAAAAUUAGCUUGUAAAUUUUUAUUAUAGUAAUAUAAUUUAAAUUUCAAGUUAUAUAAUUUAAAAUAUGAAAUUUUUAUAUUUAUUUAUAAAGAUUGAAAUAUUUUAAAUUAAAGUAUAUAUGUUGAUUUUUGUUUAUAAUUUAUUAUAAACAUAAAUUUAUAUAUACAUAAAUAGAUAUAGUAACAUAAAAAUUACAUAAUUUAUAUAUAUUAAAAAGUUGAUUUACGUUAAAGAUAUACAUUUAUUUUAAUAAAAUUAAAAUAUAACUUUUAACAAUGGAUCUCUUGGCUCUU
RNAcentral lists this unclassified non-coding RNA (378 nucleotides) under Pandora formicae. RNAcentral's name for it is "partial internal transcribed spacer region". The stretch from base 1 to 46 matches the Rfam family "Eukaryotic small subunit ribosomal RNA", at positions 1786 to 1831 of the family's 1831-position model. The record is from RNAcentral. Lineage: Eukaryota; Fungi; Entomophthoromycota; Entomophthoromycetes; Entomophthorales; Entomophthoraceae.